UUUGAAAGAGAGGCUUAUAUAAGGCAUUACACAUAAAGUAGCUAAAGUAAAUAAACAGCUGGUAGUGUUUGUCGGAAAGUAAACAACGACACAGGAGCAAUGCUGAGUUGUCGGAUGCAGGAUCAAUGGUCGUUGACUCCCUGUGUAUUAGCUUCCUUGAACUGUUGGAUGGAAGAUCCAUUCUCCAGGAUACGUUUGGCAUGCUGGAACAGGGGAUAACUCGCGUUAGCCUCACAGUCCAGUAGCGACUUUAUCAUGGUGUUCCAAGAUCUCCGCCUUCCUAUCAUAGACCGACUAGGAGUCGACGACACGGGACACCCAUGUCACCUAGAACUUGGAAACUUGGUAGAGAUCUGUGCGAGGCAUUGAUGCUUGAGGCUAGCACAAAGGAGGCAAUGGUGGCUUCGGCCUGGAGCACAUAGAGGGUGCGACAGCGGCUUCGGCCAUCAGCACACGGAGGCUACGACGGUGGCUUCGGCCUGCAACAUAUGCGGAGGUGACAGAAGGGAAUGAUUAGGGUUGUGACUGGUAGUCGCCUGCUGUAGUUUUG
This 550-nucleotide long non-coding RNA is filed under the name Hordeum vulgare. RNAcentral's name for it is "long non-coding RNA (HVUL_LNC010131)". The record is from RNAcentral. Lineage: Eukaryota; Viridiplantae; Streptophyta; Magnoliopsida; Poales; Poaceae.